AUACUGACCUGGCAGGAGAGAUACCAUGAUCAUGAAGGUGGUUUUCCCAGGGUGAGGCUCAUCUAUUGCACUCCGGGGGUGCUGACCCCUGCGAUUUCCCCAAAUGUGGGAAACUCAACUGCAUACUAUUUGACCGUUGUGAUUGACAGUGGCUCUCCAG
Molecule: small nuclear RNA, 160 nt
Organism: Rhineura floridana
Lineage: Eukaryota; Metazoa; Chordata; Lepidosauria; Squamata; Rhineuridae
Product: U1 spliceosomal RNA
Exons: 1
Source: RefSeq, a predicted model, not a curated record